GACCGUGUAGCUCAGUUGGUUAGAGCGUGGUGCUAAUACUACAAUCAGUGUAACGCCAAGGUCGCGAGUUCGACCCUCGUCAUGGUCA
This 88-nucleotide transfer RNA is filed under the name Venturia inaequalis. It matches the Rfam family "tRNA". From Rfam's summary of the family: Transfer RNA (tRNA) molecules are approximately 80 nucleotides in length. The record is from Rfam by way of RNAcentral. Lineage: Eukaryota; Fungi; Ascomycota; Dothideomycetes; Venturiales; Venturiaceae.